GUGGCAAACCAAACUAUCAUGAUUUUGCCUAUGAUAAGUAAUUAAAAGUAUCACAAUAUAGUCUAUGACAGAUAAUUCAUAUCAUAGCUAGUCCGAAUCCUCUUUACAUAAUCAAUAAGUCAUUCAAUUUUCUCUUAUCGAAUAAAAUAACUUCAUACAAUAUUUCUUUCCCAAUUUCAAAACAACUAACUUCUUAUUAUAAACAAUCAAUAUG
This 214-nucleotide long non-coding RNA is filed under the name Elaeis guineensis (African oil palm). RNAcentral's name for it is "long non-coding RNA (EGUI_LNC012674)". Lineage: Eukaryota; Viridiplantae; Streptophyta; Magnoliopsida; Arecales; Arecaceae. The record is from RNAcentral.